Molecule: ribosomal RNA, 919 nt
Filed under: uncultured archaeon
Lineage: Archaea
Description: bacterial SSU rRNA
Rfam family: Archaeal small subunit ribosomal RNA
Source: RNAcentral
UUCCGGUUGAUCCUGCCGGAGGCCAUUGCUAUCGGGGUCCGAUUUAGCCAUGCUAGUCGCACGGGUUCAGACCCGUGGCAAACAGCUCAGUAACGCGUGGCCAAACUACCCUAUGGACGUGGACACCCUCGGGAAACUGAGGCUAAUCCACGAUACGGCUCCCACGCUGGAAUGCGGGGAGCCGGAAACGCUCCGGCGCCCUAGGAUGUGGCUGCGGUCGAUUAGGUAGACGGUGGGGUAACGGCCCACCGGGCCCAUAAUCGGUACGGGAUGUGAGAGCAAAUAGCCCGGAGAUGGUAUCUGAGACAAGAUACCAGGCCCUACGGGGCGCAGCAGGCGCGAAACCUUUACACUGCACGCCAGUGCGAUAAGGGGACCCCGAGUGCGAGGGCAUACAGUCCUCGCUUUUGUACACCGUAAGGAGGUGUACGAAUAAGGGCUGGGCAAGACCGGUGCCAGCCGCCGCGGUAAUACCGGCAGCCCGAGUGAUGGCCGCUGUUAUUGGGCCUAAAGCGUCCGUAGCCGGCCGAACAAGUCUGUCGGGAAAUCCAUCCGCCUAACGGAUGGGCGUCCGGCAGAAACUGUUCGGCUUGGGGCCGGAAGAUCCGAGGGGUACGUCUGGGGUAGGAGUGAAAUCCUGUAAUCCUGGACGGACCGCCGGUGGCGAAAGCGCCUCGGAAGGACGGACCCGACGGUGAGGGACGAAAGCUGGGGUCUCGAACCGGAUUAGAUACCCGGGUAGUCCCAGCCGUAAACGAUGAUCGCUAGGUGUGGCACAGGCUACGAGCCUGUGCUGUGCCGUAGGGAAGCCGUGAAGCGAUCCGCCUGGGAAGUACGUCCGAAGGAUGAAACUUAAAGGAAUUGGCGGGGGAGCACUACAACCGGAGGAGCCUGCGGUUCAAUUGGAUUCAACGCCGGA